Molecule: ribosomal RNA, 463 nt
Filed under: uncultured bacterium
Lineage: Bacteria
Description: partial 16S ribosomal RNA
Rfam family: Bacterial small subunit ribosomal RNA
Source: RNAcentral
GAUGAACGCUGACAGAAUGCUUAACGCAUGCAAGUCUUUGGCGAAGCUGUGCUCGCACAGCCUAGCCAAGGCGGGCGGGUGAGUAACGCGUAAGGAACUUGCCCUGCAGUCAGGGAUAACAGACGGAAACGACUGAUAAGACCUGGUAAAGUCAGGCGGACUCAUGUCCAGCCUGAUGAAAAGAGAUGCUGCAGGAGAGCCUUGCGUCCUAUUAGCUUGUUGGUGGGGUAACGGCCCACCAAGGCGAUGAUAGGUAGCCGGCCUGAGAGGGUGGACGGCCACAAGGGGACUGAGAUACGGCCCUUACUCCUACGGGAGGCAGCAGUGGGGAAUAUUGGACAAUGGGGGCAACCCUGAUCCAGCAAUUCUGUGUGCACGAUGAAGGUUUUCGGAUUGUAAAGUGCUUUCAGCAGGGAAGAAAAAAAUGACGGUACCUGCAGAAGAAGCGACGGCUAAAUACGUG